RNAcentral lists this non-coding RNA (96 nucleotides) under Rhodocyclales bacterium. Its description in RNAcentral is "c-di-GMP sequence". It matches the Rfam family "c-di-GMP-I riboswitch aptamer". From Rfam's summary of the family: GEMM was predicted in a large-scale screen for bacterial structured RNA regulatory elements. Genes associated with GEMM are involved in a diverse array of functions, including chemotaxis regulation, signal transduction, secretion and chitin. The record is from RNAcentral. Lineage: Bacteria; Pseudomonadati; Pseudomonadota; Betaproteobacteria; Rhodocyclales.
ACUGAAACAAGGCAAACCCAUCGAAAGGUGGGGACGCAAAGUCACCGGUCUACCGGGCGCCAUGAACAAGCGCCCCAAGACGGCGGGACUGCCAGG